GACGAACGCAGGCGGCGUGCCUAAUACAUGCAAGUAGAACGCUGAAGAGAGGAGCUUGCUCUUCUUGGAUGAGUUGCGAACGGGUGAGUAACGCGUAGGUAACCUGCCUGGUAGCGGGGGAUAACUAUUGGAAACGAUAGCUAAUACCGCAUAAAAUGGAUUAUCGCAUGAUAAUCCAUUGAAAGGUGCAAAUGCAUCACUACCAGAUGGACCUGCGUUGUAUUAGCUAGUUGGUGGGGUAACGGCUCACCAAGGCGACGAUACAUAGCCGACCUGAGAGGGUGAUCGGCCACACUGGGACUGAGACACGGCCCAGACUCCUACGGGAGGCAGCAGUAGGGAAUCUUCGGCAAUGGACGGAAGUCUGACCGAGCAACGCCGCGUGAGUGAAGAAGGUUUUCGGAUCGUAAAGCUCUGUUGUAAGAGAAGAACGAGUGUGAGAGUGGAAAGUUCACACUGUGACGGUAUCUUACCAGAAAGGGACGGCUAACUACGUGCCAGCAGCCGCGGUAAUACGUAGGUGGCAAGCGUUGUCCGGAAUUAUUGGGCGUAAAGCGCGCGCAGGCGGCUACUUAAGUCCAUCUUAAAAGUGCGGGGCUUAACCCCGUGAUGGGAUGGAAACUGAGAAGCUGGAGUGUCGGAGAGGAAAGUGGAAUUCCUAGUGUAGCGGUGAAAUGCGUAGAGAUUAGGAAGAACACCGGUGGCGAAGGCGACUUUCUGGACGACAACUGACGCUUAGGCGCGAAAGCGUGGGGAGCAAACAGG
This 765-nucleotide ribosomal RNA is filed under the name uncultured Streptococcus sp. RNAcentral describes it as "bacterial SSU rRNA". It matches the Rfam family "Bacterial small subunit ribosomal RNA", at positions 28 to 776 of the family's 1533-position model. The record is from RNAcentral. Lineage: Bacteria; Bacillati; Bacillota; Bacilli; Lactobacillales; Streptococcaceae.